GAAAGUAUGGAAGUCACUUUCUUUUUGCGCUAUCUUUUCAACUGUAAAUUACUAGUAACUACCAAUAAGCUCUGGAUUUUUUUUUCUCCCCCCUAUUUUGGGUCGUUCAAACGUGCAAGUCCAGAGUCCUGAAGAUGACUUGAGCUUCCUUCAGACAAAACUUAGUCUAAUAGGCACUGGAUCUUUUUUAAUUAUUACAGGAAAA
This 205-nucleotide unclassified non-coding RNA is filed under the name Hevea brasiliensis (rubber tree). Lineage: Eukaryota; Viridiplantae; Streptophyta; Magnoliopsida; Malpighiales; Euphorbiaceae. The record is from RNAcentral.